AAAUUACCCAGCAAUCUGCGGUGUAUUGUUCGAAAUGAACGUUUAUCAGCAAUGGACUUUCUGCUGUACUAUAUAUCUCGCAUAAUUUAUCAAAAGGACCUAAAUUGAUAGCCAUUUUCAAAAUGAAAAAUCCGAGAAAAAAUCAUUUGCGAUUCGCUUGUGUGAAAAUGUGCGCGUUUUUAGUGACCGGAAUCUUGCAGGAACCUGAAGUGUGGCGACGAAACAGGUACAAGACGACUUCACUGCGCUGCGUUCGAUGCUGCUUUUUGUGCUGUAUAUCGAGCUGUAUAUGGCACUCAACGAGAAUGAAAAUCGUACACGUGUGACUUUUCCAAAAUUGGAUUUUGGUUUUUGAUUGUUUCUAAAGUUGAAUUUAAAUAAAAUGCUUAAGACGAUCCCCACCAGUGCGUAAAUAAAGCCAAAAUAGCAACCUCUAUCAUGACGCGAGCUCGCACCGGUCGUUGGUAAACGGGUUUGGGAAAUGUAAACGCAACCUUCGGUGAAUAGCGAGUUGGCAAAUUUGGCGACCCGCUCCAACCGUUGCCAAACCAUCACACGGAAAUAUACACUGAAAUUAAAUCACCGUUAUAUUCUAUGUGCGCAAAUCAUAUGAAAACGAUUCGACAGGAGUUAUCACGAUUUCAUGUGCAGCAUUUAGAAUGAAUUAAUCAACAAGGAUAUUUAAUAGCUAUCUAUAUAUAAUAUAAAGGUAAUCUUUUUACAUGUCAUUGGAACUGCCAGUGAAUUUUAUGUGCAAUGGUUGAUAGUUGAUAAUUAUCGAUUCCUGCACAUAAAACUUAAUAGCGAACUCUAAUAGACAUUUUUGUCGUGGAAUGUUUGUGGUUGGAAGGUUCCGCCGUUCCGCCAGCAAAAUUUGUACCUGCACCAGUGCCGGAAUAAGCCAUCUAUCCGUGAUGGAAUCGGCUGCGAGAUGGAUUGCAGUGUGCUCGUUUCAUCAUAAAAGCCGAAAGUUGAAACACUUCUGAGCUUGGGCCACAACACGGUGGCAAUCACCGUUGUUUGGUUUCGUGGUAGCUGAUAGAUCAGAAGUUUCCAUCCUUUGAAGAUGAUCCCAAGUAAGAAGACCCUGGAGCGGAAAUAUUUACAAAUGAUCAAUUUUGACCUGCAAAUGGACCAUUCUUAUUCGUUCAUGUAAAACCGUUUCGCUGCUGUGGGAGCCAUAAAUUAUCGCCGUGGUCCUGGCUAGUAAGUUGCUGCUGCGAAUGCUGCCGAUUGCUGACGAAAAAUGAAAAUUCUGGAAGACAUUUAUCAUCAGGUGCCGGAGCUGUUCUACCUGCAACCAAUCCCCAAGCCACUUCCAGCCAGUCUGCUGCAGUUGCCAUCAAGCAAAUCAUCGCCACCGAUGAAACGUGCCAGCGUUUGCUACAACUCUACGGUACUCCCUCCUUUGCAAAAGUUGCCAGAUCAACCCUGGCAGAAUUACUCGCAUCCGCACUAUACUGUCCACUCUCCGGAUCACCAAGAAAAACAUCGCUAGUACCAAUAUAUAUAGGGGUCGACCAUUAAUUACGUAAGCAUUUUUUCUGGGUUUUUCGAAACCCCCUUCCCCUUGUAAGAUUUUUCCCAUACAAAUUAUUCUUUGUUUAUAUGCAAAGUAAGAAAAUGACAGACCUCCUUCCUUCUAAGUGCUUACGUAAUUAGUGUACGACCCAAAGAAACUGUGCUGCAUAGUAAUUCAUUGUACCAUCGAUUGUAAACAUCAUGAUUUUAUUCCGCUAACAGAAAAUUAUAAUUAAAAACCUUUAUUUAAA
This is a long non-coding RNA of Armigeres subalbatus, 1772 nucleotides long. RefSeq lists it as uncharacterized. Lineage: Eukaryota; Metazoa; Arthropoda; Insecta; Diptera; Culicidae. The transcript has 5 exons. The record is from RefSeq and is a predicted model, not a curated record.